Molecule: long non-coding RNA, 239 nt
Filed under: Cavia porcellus (domestic guinea pig)
Lineage: Eukaryota; Metazoa; Chordata; Mammalia; Rodentia; Caviidae
Description: lncRNA (ENSCPOG00000035073.1)
Source: RNAcentral
AUUGUCCAGGCUGGAUUCAAAUUCCUGGCCUUAUGUGAUCCUCCUGCCUCAAUUUUCCCAGUGGCUGAGAAUACAGCAGGAAGCACUGUGCCCACUUCAAGGAUCUUUUUUUACCCUCCCAGAAGCUGUGAGCCUUACGAAAUGAGCAACACCAGUAUCAAGAUGGCAGAAAGAAUCUGUAAGAACCUGGCACAAUCCUGACUGAAUUCCUGGAAAAGAAUCUGGCAGGUGGAUGAGAG